GAAUGGCUCAUUAAAUCAGUUAUCGUUUAUUUGAUAGUACCUUACUACAUGGAUAACCGUGGUAAUUCUAGAGCUAAUACAUGCUAAAAAUCCCGACUUCGGAAGGGAUGUAUUUAUUAGAUUAAAAACCAAUGCCCUUCGGGGCUCUCUGGUGAUUCAUAAUAACUUCUCGAAUCGCACGGCCUUGCGCCGGCGAUGGUUCAUUCAAAUUUCUGCCCUAUCAACUUUCGACGGCUGGGUCUUGGCCAGCCAUGGUGACAACGGGUAACGGAGGGUUAGGGCUCGACCCCGGAGAAGGAGCCUGAGAAACGG
Molecule: ribosomal RNA, 312 nt
Filed under: Paramoeba aestuarina
Lineage: Eukaryota; Discosea; Flabellinia; Dactylopodida; Paramoebidae
Description: partial Eukaryotic small subunit ribosomal RNA
Rfam family: Eukaryotic small subunit ribosomal RNA
Source: RNAcentral